CGGUGAAGCGGGUGCUUGCACUCGUGGAUCAGUGGCGAACGGGUGAGUAACACGUGAGUAACCUGCCCUCCACUCUGGGAUAAGCGCUGGAAACGGCGUCUAAUACUGGAUACGACCGACCCUCGCAUGGGGUGUUGGUGGAAAGAUUUAUCGGUGGUGGAUGGACUCGCGGCCUAUCAGCUUGUUGGUGGGGUAAUGGCCUACCAAGGCGACGACGGGUAGCCGGCCUGAGAGGGCGACCGGCCACACUGGGACUGAGACACGGCCCAGACUCCUACGGGAGGCAGCAGUGGGGAAUAUUGCACAAUGGGCGAAAGCCUGAUGCAGCGACGCCGCGUGAGGGAUGACGGCCUUCGGGUUGUAAACCUCUUUCAGCAGGGAAGAAGCUUUUGUGACGGUACCUGCAGAAGAAGCACCGGCUAACUACGUGCCAGCAGCCGCGGUAAUACGUAGGGUGCGAGCGUUGUCCGGAAUUAUUGGGCGUAAAGAGCUUGUAGGCGGUUUGUCGCGUCUGCUGUGAAAAUUCAGGGCUUAACCCUGGACGUGCAGUGGGUACGGGCAGACUAGAGUAUGGUAGGGGAGACUGGAAUUCCUGGUGUAGCGGUGGAAUGCGCAGAUAUCAGGAGGAACACCGAUGGCGAAGGCAGGUCUCUGGGCCAUUACUGACGCUGAGAAGCGAAAGCAUGGGGAGCGAACAGGAUUAGAUACCCUGGUAGUCCAUGCCGUAAACGUUGGGCGCUAGGCGUGGGUCUCAUUCCACGAGAUCCGUGUCGCAGCUAACGCAUUAAGCGCCCCGCCUGGGGAGUACGGCCGCAAGGCUAAAACUCAAAGGAAUUGA
RNAcentral lists this ribosomal RNA (838 nucleotides) under Kytococcus sedentarius. RNAcentral describes it as "bacterial SSU rRNA". It matches the Rfam family "Bacterial small subunit ribosomal RNA", at positions 67 to 913 of the family's 1533-position model. The record is from RNAcentral. Lineage: Bacteria; Bacillati; Actinomycetota; Actinomycetes; Micrococcales; Kytococcaceae.